RNAcentral lists this long non-coding RNA (644 nucleotides) under Equus asinus (donkey). RNAcentral describes it as "lncRNA (ENSEASG00005026701.1)". The record is from RNAcentral. Lineage: Eukaryota; Metazoa; Chordata; Mammalia; Perissodactyla; Equidae.
GGAAAGGAAAGUUUUGAGAAAUUUGGAAAGGCUCUGCCUCCUUGAGGAAGUGGGGUUUUCCUCUCUGCUGUCCCCUUGACCACAAGAUUGUGCUGCUCGGAGCUCCUGGAGAUAAGUUGGGAUUCCACAAGUCAAGAAUACAACACAAUCAAGCACAUUUGUUUCCACCAUUACAGCCACAGCUCUCCAGUAAGGCAUGAACCAGCUACAGACAGUUGGACAAGGGGUAUCCAAAGGAGUGUCUAAAAGAUCUGCAAGGAGCAUGGGCAGAUCCUUAGCAGAGGUGAGGAUUUCCUGUCACUAGAAGUCUGUCCAGCAUGGGGAACCAUGAGGGUUAGUGGAGACUUCAGAGGCUUCUAGAGUUGAGGCCUCUACAAGCUUUGCCGCCCUGGCUCUUAACGGGUGGAUAUGCCUUGCUGCCGGACCCAAUGGAAGACUAAGAUCCAGCAGGCAGGGAGCCACAGCAGGCUCCAGAUUCUCCUGACCCCUCUGACGCCCUUCCUGGAAGAGGGCUCUCGGCCGCCCCCUGCUGGAUUGCUGCACAGCUGCCCCACCUAGGCCCUGGGACACAUUCUCCCACGAAACCCUGUCCCAGGGCCAAAGGCAGAGUCGGAGCAAAUCAAUCAGGAGUCUGCCCUCUCCUG